CGACAGUACGUACAUACGAGCGUGUGCGUGGUUUCUGCACUAUUCCGCGGCUCUCAUGUCUGUCUUCUACCCACUGCAACUAUUCGUCUUCUCUGGCGCGUGCACUUGAGCUUGCGCUCGCACAGGCACGGCGGCAGCCGUAGAUACAGAGCUUGCUGCUUUGUGUCCGUUGCGGCCUGCCCUCAUUCUUUUUCCACUUCCGUUCGCCUACUGUUUCUCGACGCUGCUGCAGCUCUGCCGCCCUCUCACGUAGCACCUUGGCGCUGUAGCUGCCGUUGCUGCUGUAGCUCUGGACGCUGCUGCUCUGGCGGUGUUCCGUCUUCGCUGUCGCCCUCUCACGUAGCACCUUGGCGCUGUAGCUGCCGUUGCUGCUGUAGCUCUGGACGCUGCUGCUCUGGCGGUGUUCCGUCUUCGCUGUCGCCCUCUCACGUAGCACCUUGGCGCUGUAGCUGCCGUUGCUGCUGUAGCUCUGGACGCUGCUGCUCUGGCGGUGUUCCGUCUUCGCUGUCGCCCUCUCAACGACGCAUUGCGUUUCCGCUUCCUUUCGUUUUUUCUUUUUUUUUUUCGUCUUCACGGCUGCGGCAGCGCUUGUCGCUCUCACGCCGCUUUCCUUCUCCAACUUCUCCCCGCUCUCUCUCUCUCACGCACACACAUCACUUUUACAACCACAGAUGCACUCGGCGUCGUUGCCGUCGUCUUUGGCGGUGCCUCAGCCGCAGUGGCCGCAGUUUGCACAGAUGCGCGACUUCGUCUACACCCACACACAGCCGCAGUGGGGCGACGUGCGCACCGCCACCACAAGCAGCACGACGCCAGCGCAGCGACGCGCAGAUACAGAUAACAUGACAUCCCUGACCCAAAGCGUUACCGACAUGUGGGUGCCGAUCAUCGUGCGCCCGGCGCCACUGGAGGGUCACCGUGUCUGCACAACGUGCCAGCGUGCGAAGGAGGGCUGCAUUUGCACGACAUGCUCUGUUUGCCGGUCCCGCUUCCGCUUCCACACCAAUCGGCAUCACUGCCGCCGCUGCUGGCACGCUGUGUGCUCCGGCUGCUGGGGAUAUCGACACUACGUACACAUGCUUGGGCGGCAGAUGAUGGUGUGCGACCGCUGCUCCACGCUAUGGGCGCUGGCGAACCUCGCCACGCGCGGUGACGGCGGCCUUCUGUGGGGGCUGUACAUAUUGCGGACAGCGGGGCCCAUGCCUCGCAUGUGCAUCGGCCCGUCGUGCCGUAUCCUGACACGUCAACUGGUGUGCUACGGGUGUGGGCUGCCCACCGUUGUCACGCAGCCGCACACCGCACGUGUGGUCCGCCCGAACGGGUUGUCCAAGAGCGUGAUGGACGACGUCAGGGUGCUUGACGUGCAGCAGCUCUCGCUGCGCGCCAUGGAGGUGGGCGGCAUGACGACCACGCAGGUGGAGCGCAUGUUUCGCGGGCUCUUCCGCCGCUACGAAGAGAUGCUCGCCUUCCGCGCCAUCACCACCGCCGUUCUGGCACAGCGAGUGCUGCUUUCCAUGGUGGCUUCGGCAAUCGCGUACGAGUACCUCGGAGCGCCAAACAUCACCUUGAGUCUGUCUGACAUCCCGUACGCACGUGCACUGCGCAUCACCGUAGCACGGGAGCGUUACACAAUCCUUGAGGCGCCAGGUCGCGUUAAGUUCAUUGCCUUUCCCGGAACGCACAACUGGCGGACGCGUUGGGUGGACAUGCAGUUUGCGCGUGUCACGGAGACUGUGUGGUCGACGUUGCACGAAGGCGUCUGUCUGACUACGACAGCGGAGGACCAAGAGGGGGCCGACCACGCUGAGGCAACGGUGAUACUCAACGGCGGUGUUCGGAAGGUGUGGGAGUACCAGGUGCACAAGGGCUUCGCGCAAGAGGCGCAAGAGGUUGGACUGCCCUUCGACACGCUUCUGGAAGACGUCCGCAGUGGCGGUUAUACCCUUGUCCUGUGCGGCCAUUCGCUGGGCGGGGCCACUGCGCAGUACUUGAGUCUGCAGAUGCUGCACCGACGUGCUUCUCUGCUGGUGCCCCGCGGCUCGCAGGAGGAGACACCGCGACUGCUGUGCGUCUCACUCGGUGCGCCGCUGCUCGGCAACUACGAGCUGGCCGACCACGUACAGGGCUGCGGCUGGACGCAUAUCUUCCACAACUUUGUCCACCGCAGCGACAUUGUGCCGCGCCUGUCGUGCACGGACGAACUCGCUUGGGACGCGCAGUCGCGACUUAAGCAGCUCGUCACAUCCGUCUUCACGGCAGCCCAGAGCUGGUGGAGGGGCGGCGGCAGUCAAAGCAGCCCCGCGAGUGCGGCGUCGCCAGCAGCAAAUACCGCUGCCUCCUCCGCCGCGACUGUAGCAGCCAACACCCCCACCCUCAGCUCCGGCAGGAUCUCCACCGCGCUGGCACGCUUGCGCGCCAAGACGCCGUCCGGCACUUCCUUUGCUGACGCUUCUCCAGGUGCUGGCGCUUCAGCUACGUCUGCACUCUUCUCGAUGAACGACGCGGCGGGCAAGGAGACCGCCGCGCCGGAGGAGGAAGACAUCUCUGACGGGUCAUCUGCAUUGUGGGAAGAGCAAGCGCAGCUCGCCGCGUACGCCGAUACCACCCUCCGCAACAGCCGUGACGCGCUGGAGAACGACACGCCAGCACCAUCUCGUGAGGCGGCAGCGCAGCUGGACGCCGAAGUGGAGGCGGCCCUCCACGAUUUCAAAAGCCGAUGUACGCGCAGGUGCGGCGCCGCGUCUAGGCCAUUGAGCACCGUGUAUCACUCGUGUCGUGAAGAUGGUGGCUCUGGGCCCGACGUCGCCGAUGAGCCGGUCACACCUUCUGAAGUUGGGGUUGCGGCGGACACGGUGGCUGAUGUAGUGCUGCCGGUGUCUUCGCGCCGCGUGCACCGCCGCUUCACGUGCUUCGGCCGCUAUCAUUUUAUCCAAUACGGUGCCUACGGGUAUGUGUCGACCGACGACUCGGAGACCGCCUUCGCGGUGUUGAAGCACGGCUGCGGGGAGGCCUCGGUUUUGGGUGAUCACUCUGUGGAGGCUUACAAUCGAGGGGUGAUGAUCCACCUCUACCGCAACACCGAGUCUUAGCUGUUUGGUCACGCAUCAUUAUGCGGUGAUGGGGAGGGGGUGAAAGAGAUGUAUGGCGCCGGCAGGGCCGUGAGGCGUGUGUGAGAAGGUGUCUGUGUACGUGUAGACAGCUACGCCGCCCCGCGCUCUUGCCCCCGGUUUCUCGCUCUUCAUCUUUCUAUCACUCCACCACUGGCAUGCACACACAUACGACGGAAGCGGCAGACCUGAAAGCACUCAUUUCUUCUCUCGGCGUUAUACUACCGUCCUCUGCUGAACACGUUUUGUUGUGUUAUUGUUUCCGUUUUCCUUCUCUGCCUUCCGCAGCUCACGCGUCCGGUCGCCGACCGCCUCUGCAUCGGCACCGGAACAGCAGAUGCACAACCGCAUGUUAGCAUCAACACGUUUUUCUGCUCUUCUCCGUUCACCCGAUGAUGCUGUGGGGUGGGGGGGAGGGAAUCACCUCUCCGUGCGUGGUAUCAACAAGGGUCCAGUGCACCCCCCCCUCCCCACACACACACUCUCUCUCUCUCGGGGAGGAAGCCACGCAGCCCCUGGUCCUUGCCAAUGCCAAAGGACUUCCUGGCGGUGACGGCGCCAAGUGCCUAGGACGUGGGGAAGUCAGAGGGAUUCAUUGCGACUCAUGGCGGCGGCGAGGUCGUGGAUGGUGAUGCGUCGGAGCGACCUGCGACCGUGAACACGCUUGUGCCAUCCAUAUGAUGGGCAAAGUGUCCGCGUAACUCGAACGAAUCCCACCCACCCCCGAUUUUCACUGCCCACUGGUAGAGGAGCCUGCGCCACCCCGAAGGGGAUGCACCGGGUGGCGGCGUGGGAAGUGGGUGGGCGGAGCUCGAGUCAGAGGCCGUGCUCAGAUGACUGGGUCGGCGCAUUGCUGCAACGCGUGUGUACGGCUGCUUCGCACCACGCGAUGUGGGGCCUGUGGCAGGCCUGGGCUUGAGUGGAGUUCAACUUACGUUGAAUGGAAGAGUGAAAUGGAUGUGCUGAG
Molecule: unclassified non-coding RNA, 4074 nt
Filed under: Leishmania donovani
Lineage: Eukaryota; Euglenozoa; Kinetoplastea; Trypanosomatida; Trypanosomatidae
Description: gene:LdHU3.13.0260(CDS-product:Triglyceride_lipas e_putative)
Source: RNAcentral